Molecule: ribosomal RNA, 253 nt
Filed under: uncultured bacterium
Lineage: Bacteria
Description: partial 16S ribosomal RNA
Rfam family: Bacterial small subunit ribosomal RNA
Source: RNAcentral
UACGGGGGGGGCAAGCGUUGUUCGGAAUUACUGGGCGUAAAGGGCUCGUAGGCGGCCAACUAAGUCGGAUGUGAAAUCCCCAGGCUUAACCUGGGAACUGCAUCCGAUACUGGAUGGCUUGAAUCCGGGAGAGGGAUGCAGAAUUCCAGGUGUAGCGGUGAAAUGCGUAGAUAUCUGGAGGAAUACCGGUGGCGAAGGCGGCAUCCUGGACCGGCAUUGACGCUGAGGCAUGAAAGCGUGGGGAGCAAACAGG